This is a non-coding RNA of Bemisia tabaci, 551 nucleotides long. Lineage: Eukaryota; Metazoa; Arthropoda; Insecta; Hemiptera; Aleyrodidae. The record is from RefSeq and is a predicted model, not a curated record.
UCCUCAGUCUGUGGCUAGUUCACUAUCGUGGAAGGUGAUGCUAUACUUAUUCUUAGAUUCUCUCGAGUUUCUCGAAUCCCUAAGUUUGUGUGUCUUCGCUCUUCGAGAGGCGAAAGCGAGAAGUACGCGGCUGUAGUGUACUCCAUGGAGGGAAUCAGCGAAGAGCUUGUUUCGAAAAGUGCUCGAUCCGAGGGAAGAAAUGGACUACAUUUUGGAAUAAGGAACGGCUGUCAAUGGCUCAUCUGUGAAAAACACUUAUUUUGCAUACGGGAACUAAUGGUACUAACAGGGGUCUACUUCUUUCCACUCCUCUACCACUUUCUCCCACGUAGUUCACGUAGUAUUAAUCACUUCGACUUCGAGAAUAAAUCCUUACAAUGAAUUACAAUUUUUGGCCGUUCUGGCAAAUUUACAGAGCAGAAGAGAUGACUGUGGGAUUUUCACGAACUUUAAGGUAUAAAAACUUACAUUGAAAUUUGCAAAACCUGUGAUCUAUUUUCUUCUGUAUUUUACAUUUUUUUGAGCAGUAAAUCAUUGUAAUCUCUUGUGAA